CAGCCGCCACGGUAAUACGAAGGGUGCAAGCGCUAAUCGGAAUUACUGGGCGUAAAGCGUGCGUAGGCGGUGAGUUAAGUCUGCUGUGAAAUCCCCGGGCUCAACCUGGGAAUGGCAGUGGAUACUGGCUCGCUAGAGUGUGUCAGAGGAUGGUGGAAUUCCCGGUGUAGCGGUGAAAUGCGUAGAGAUCGGGAGGAACAUCUGUGGCGAAGGCGACUAUCUGGGCCAACACUGACACUAAGGCACGAAAGCGUGGGGAGCAAACAGGAUUAGAUACCCGCGUAGUCCCUGUCUCUUAUAC
RNAcentral lists this ribosomal RNA (301 nucleotides) under uncultured bacterium. RNAcentral describes it as "partial 16S ribosomal RNA". It matches the Rfam family "Bacterial small subunit ribosomal RNA", at positions 509 to 807 of the family's 1533-position model. The record is from RNAcentral.